GUUUAUCUCGCAUCAGUUCCAGCUGCCUUGUUAAAAGACACAGAAUAUGAAGGUCCUCUAAACCGUACCACCUGCAGCCUGUUACCUCCCUUGACUCGGGAUGAAACUGCAGUUAAUGAUCCUGUUCCCCCCAUGACGCCAACACACAGUCUGCAUCAUAAUGCACCAAAAACAAGCUGUUCACCUCAAAAUAUGCCCCAGUACAGGAAUGUGUUCAGUGACCGUGCCAAGAGGGGCUUCUGCUACUGGCUGGUUGACAAUAAAGCCUCAAAGUGUAAGUACUGAUCCAAGCCCAGACUCCAGUAAAAUGUCACCUAUGCCAUAAGUAUCAGCUUGGCAUGACAUUUACAUGCAUGUGUUGCUGUUAGGA
Scomber japonicus (chub mackerel) is the source of this 370-nucleotide long non-coding RNA. RefSeq lists it as uncharacterized. The record is from RefSeq and is a predicted model, not a curated record. The transcript is spliced from 3 exons. Lineage: Eukaryota; Metazoa; Chordata; Actinopteri; Scombriformes; Scombridae.